UGAGGAAUAUUGGGCAAUGCCCGAAAGGGUGACCCAGCAACGCCGCGUGGAGGAUGAAGGUCGUAAGAUUGUAAACUCCUGUUAGAGGGGAAGAAUAACUAAGUUUGGAGCUUAGUAUGACUGUACCCUCAGAGAAAGCCCCGGCUAACUACGUGCCAGCAGCCGCGGUAAUACGUAGGGGGCAAGCGUUGUCCGGAUUUACUGGGUGUAAAGGGCGCGCAGGCGGAAUGGAAAGUCAGUGGUGAAAUCCUACAGCUUAACUGUAGAACUGCCUUUGAUACUUUCACUCUUGAGUUCGGGAGAGAGAGACGGAAUUCCAGGUGUAGUGGUGAAAUACGUAGAUAUCUGGAAGAACACCAGUUGCGAAGGCGGUCUCUUGGUCCGAUACUGACGCUGAGGCGCGAAAGCGUGGGGAGCAAACA
RNAcentral lists this ribosomal RNA (422 nucleotides) under uncultured bacterium. RNAcentral describes it as "bacterial SSU rRNA". It matches the Rfam family "Bacterial small subunit ribosomal RNA", at positions 355 to 774 of the family's 1533-position model. The record is from RNAcentral.